UAGGGAAGUUGUAAAAUGUUACAGUAGCAUAGGAGUUGGCAAAUUACAGCUUGUAGGCCAAACUGUACAGUGUUUUCUUUUUUCCUUACAAACAGAAGCCUAGUGUGGUUCAGGUAUGGGUGACCACUUGCUUAAUAGAUAACUCCUAUUCCCUAGGGAGUGAAUGUUGGUUAGUUCAAAGCAUUUGUAGUGAAUCUGUCCCCCUUGCCACGGAUUGGUUUACACAUGGUACGCAGGAGAGUAAGACAUAAAUGGAAAUCCACUAGAGUGUUACUGUAAGGUUUUUCUAACUCUUAUAAGGAAAAAAAAGGCACUUCACAAGGAUCAUCCCUUUCUAUAUUUGAAUGCGGCAAAUAUGAUGUGGUAUGUGAAGCUAGAGCAGUCCUUGCAAUCAUGAGGGAAGAGCCAAGAGAAUCACACAGAAUCCUUGUAAAUGUUGCACCUUUGAAUUAAUCAAUCUUGAGUUAAUGUGUUCUAGGUUUCUGUUAGGAGAGAUAUAGAAUUCAUUAUACUAAUUAUAAUUUAAGAUACUUUUAUGUGUCUUUACUGAAACAAUCUCAUCACCCCGACCCUCUCCACAAAACUCUUCAGAGAAAGGUAUAAUAGAGAACAAAGUUAAAUAGAUGUCCCAUCCUUCAAAGCAAAGCAUCAAAAUGAGGUCUUCUGCUAAGAAGUCCUGAUUAUGAACAAUAAAAAAGCUGGUUAAAGCUGAGAUUAUUCUUAAUAAGGUUUGAGACCUUAACAACGUCUUUAUGAAAGAUAAUAUUCUUUAUGAACAAGGGGCUAAAGAAAACUCUGAACUUCCUGGGUUCUGAGCUAGUUAAUGCUUUUCUAACUAGCUUGGUACCCUUUACCAUGUAAGAACAAAAAAACACCUAAAGGGCGCUUGAAUCUGCAAAGUAAAUUUACUAUUAGGUAAUCUCAUUGCUAAAAUUUUCCAUCCUACAUCUUUUUCACUAACCAAUUUGCCUCCUCCUCUAUCUUCCACAAGAGAUCUGUUUUACUGGUCUAUGUAACUGUAGUGCUUGCCAUUAUUCAGUAUUUAACUGCUCCUUUGAAGAAACCUUACUUAAAAUGGGGUUUGUCUUUAGCAUGUAGAUAUACCACUUUUGAAAAGCCACUGGUAGUUUACUCUCUUAGAAUUUAACAUAAUUUUUUACUUUUUCAACAGGCUUUGUAAAUUUUUCACAUUUGUAGAGCUUGUUUUAAUUACUAAUUUAUAUUGGAACAGUUCUCUGAUUCUCCAAUAUCAUUACUAUUAUUUUUGCUAUUUGUAUUAGUUUUCUAUUGCAGCUAUUAUAAAUUACAACUUAGCAACUUUAAACAUUACAAAUUUAUACUUACAGUUCUGGAGGUCAGAGUUCCAAAAUCAAGGUGUUGGCAGGGCUGCACUCAUUCUGGGUGCUCUAGGGGAGAAGGUGUUUUCCUAUAUUUUCUAGCUCCUAAAGGCCAUCUGCAUUCCUUGGCUCAUGGUCUCAACCUCCAUCUUCAAAGUCAGCAGUGCAGAGCAUCUUUCCAUCUCUGACUUGUCUCCUUCUAAGGACCCUUGUGAUUACACUAGGCCCACUAGAAGAUAACCUCAGAAGUCGAGAUUCCUAAUCAAUAGUGCUUUUUUGCCAUAAAAGGUUACAUAUUGACAGGUUCUUGGGAUUAGGCCCACCUUUGUGGGCCACUAUUCAGCCUACCACACUGCUUACUAUUCCUUAUGCUGCUGCUACUACUGCUAUUCUUAUUGCCACUCAUUAAAAUUUGAUUGUAUAUCAAGAGCCAGGCACUCUUCCGUGUUACAUUCUUUAUCUCGGCCUAUAAGCCACAUACUCAAAUUGUCUAAAUAACUUUCUUGGACAGGCUUGUGACUAAGCCAUUGCUUUCUGAUAAGUAAAUGACACUAAUUUAUCACAAAAUUAACAAUGGCUCACAAAAUCUGCAUUCUACUCCUUUCUGGCACUGACUUGCAUGUGCCUAUGUUGUUAAUAAUUAUAAAUAAGACUGCAAACUUGUAGCUUAGAAAAUGUAGUCAUAAAUCUAUAAUAAUGGAUAGAAAUUGGCAUUUAGAAAUCCAGCUACAUUUAUGAGUGGUUGGAAUUAAUGCUUAUAGAUACUGGGUUCAAUUAGCUUAGACCACUGAGACUACAGGGAAUAGUUAAUUACACCCAGCUUAGAAACUAGGACUUAAACCCUUGACCAAAAUACUAUAAAACACAUAACCUUCAAGUGAGACCUUUGUCAAAAAAGGUUAAUGCCCCAAAUCUAUCACUGCUGUUCAAAAAAAACUUAUAAACUGAUGUUUGCACAAUAAUUUCAUAUUCUUAUUGAAGAGUACAUUAUCAUGUAGUUUGAGUGGUACCUGUUUAUUGUACUCUUGCCACUCAAAUCUGUUAAAUGAGAUCUUUAAUAUACUGUGAAACACUUUGAAGAGCAGCUCUGAUGUAUCUAACAUGAGGCCCACCAAAUGACAAUUCGGCACCUAAGACUUGCUAAGCAUUAGAAGGGUUAGAGGCUCUUGAACUGGGUUGAACCUAUUAGCUAUCUGAUUUAAGGCUAUUUUAAGAUUGGAUAUAAUUAAGGAGAUGAGCCUAGUUAAAAAAGGAAAUCAUUUAAACAUGAAUAUAGAAAUAGUCUAGCCCAGUGGUGCUAGCCUGUUAAUUAUGAACACCAGUAGCAUACAGGAAUUAUAAUGAGGAACCCAUAAAUCCAUUUAAGCACCAAAUAUAUCUGUAGAUUAAGUAUUUCCCACAUAUCAAACAUAAAUUAUAUUUGUGAUGAGUAAUUCAAGUUCGAUUUUUAAAAAAUCAUUGAGUUCCUGGUAGCUUUUGGUCAUUCUGCAUUCUAUAAACCAUUAAGAGUUACUGUGAGAAUCGAUGAAAUUGACAUGUUUAAAAUGGCUGGGCACUGCUCCCCUAGCUCAAAGAAUUUGGCAAGUGUUCAUGACACACUUCUACCACACAAACACUUCCAUUCAUAUAAGAUUAAAGCUUCAAAAGAGCUGCCAUUUGACAGUUCUGUAUAGGAGUUAAGUCUCCCAAAAGGUAUGUGAAAAAGUGAGUUAAGCAAUAAAAUAAGGCCAACUAAUUAAUGCUGAUGAAAUCUUUCAAUAGCCUUUUACUUUCUAUAAUGAUAGCUUGCCAGUAACUAAGAUUAGAAAGCCAAAGAAGGUAAAAAGCAGUUUAAUUUCUUUAACUUGACUGCAAUAAGAGUACUUAAAUCAAUAAACUAGAUGGGAUUGUUUUUAAGAAUAUUUUUUAUGGAAAGCGUAUCUGGCUUUUAAGUACAUGCUAUAAAAGUUGUAUAGCACUUUACAAAAAAUUUUUGCAUUGUAGGGUUUUAAAGUUAGAAAGUCUCAUUUGUAGUCAUUAAAAAAAAAAGUCAAAACAAGAAAGAUGAGAAAACUAACCAUGUGGAAGGUUAAGUGAUUUGUUCAAGGCUGUAUAGUUACAAUAGAAGAGCUUAAGCUAUUUUUUUUUAAAACCACAUGGUAAUAG
Long non-coding RNA from Sapajus apella (tufted capuchin), 3482 nucleotides. RefSeq lists it as uncharacterized. Lineage: Eukaryota; Metazoa; Chordata; Mammalia; Primates; Cebidae. The transcript has 2 exons. The record is from RefSeq and is a predicted model, not a curated record.